GUCAACUACCCCCCCUAAUCGCAAAGCGAUCUAGUGGGGGCUUGUAAAAGCAGGCCAGUUGACCAGCUUGAGUGCUUUGGGCACUACGACAGAGCGGCGAUCACACCCUGGAAUGCGCGAGCCAGUUCCAGGCUCUGUGGAGCGUUAUCAUGCUGCGGCGAGGGGUAAACCGCGAAGGUGGCGUUCUUAACAACCCGCUUUGUCUUUAGCGAGGCUCACGUUAC
Molecule: non-coding RNA, 224 nt
Organism: Nitrosococcus halophilus
Lineage: Bacteria; Pseudomonadati; Pseudomonadota; Gammaproteobacteria; Chromatiales; Chromatiaceae
Rfam family: HNH endonuclease-associated RNA and ORF (HEARO) RNA
Source: Rfam